CACCUCCUUCACAUUUUUUGUCUUGCCACAAUUAGGAAUGGAUUCAAAAACCAAGAGGCAACGCUAUACAAGGCAGUGGAAAUAUGCACGGAGAUCACUGCAUGAAAGGUGUAUUGGAGAGGAGUCAUCACUUCAUCCAGUAACACUUCAAGAAAGAAUUAAUGAAGAACAU
Non-coding RNA from Pimephales promelas (fathead minnow), 172 nucleotides. The record is from RefSeq and is a predicted model, not a curated record. NCBI's taxonomy places the organism in Eukaryota, Metazoa, Chordata, Actinopteri, Cypriniformes, Leuciscidae.